RNAcentral lists this transfer RNA (65 nucleotides) under Pleophylla sp. PLE01. RNAcentral describes it as "tRNA-His". It matches the Rfam family "tRNA". From Rfam's summary of the family: Transfer RNA (tRNA) molecules are approximately 80 nucleotides in length. Their secondary structure includes four short double-helical elements and three loops (D, anti-codon, and T loops). Lineage: Eukaryota; Metazoa; Arthropoda; Insecta; Coleoptera; Scarabaeidae. The record is from RNAcentral.
GUUUAAGUAGUUUAAUUAAAAUAUUGAUUUGUGGAGUCAAAGAUGUUAAUUUUUUACCUUGAACA